CCUACGGGGAGCAGCAGUGAGGAAUAUUGGUCAAUGGACGCUAGCCUGAACCAGCCAAGCAGCGUGAAGGAUGACGGCUCUAUGAGUUGUAAACUGCUUUUGUACGAGAGUAAAGUCAGAUACGUGUAUUGGUCUGAAAGUAUCGUACGAAUAAGGAUCGGCUAACUCCGUGCCAGCAGCCGCGGUAAUACGGAGGAUUCGAGCGUUAUCCGGAUUGAUUGGGUUUAAAGGGAGCGUAGGCGGUCUGUUAAGUUAGUGGUGAAAGUUCGCGGCUCAACCGGAGAAUUGCAGCUGAUACUGGUAGCCUAGAGUACAGUAGCGGUAGGCGGAAUUCGUGGUGUAGCGGUGAAAUGCUUAGAUAUCACACAGAACACCGAUUGCGAAGGCAGCCUGC
Molecule: ribosomal RNA, 394 nt
Filed under: uncultured bacterium
Lineage: Bacteria
Description: partial 16S ribosomal RNA
Rfam family: Bacterial small subunit ribosomal RNA
Source: RNAcentral